AGAGUUUGAUCAUGGCUCAGGAUGAACGCUGGCGGCGUGCCUAACACAUGCAAGUCGAACGGGAUCCCCUGGAUUCGUCUGGGGGUGAGAGUGGCGAACGGGUGAGUAACACGUAGGUGACCUGCCCCAAAGGGGGGAAUAACUGCUGGAAACGGUGGCUAAUACCCCAUGUGCUCGAUGGUUCGGUCCGUCGAGUAAAGCUCCGGCGCUUUGGGAGGGGCCUGCGGCCCAUCAGGUAGUUGGUAGGGUAAUGGCCUACCAAGCCGAUGACGGGUAGGGGGCGUGAGAGCGUGAACCCCCACACUGGCACUGAGACACGGGCCAGACUCCUACGGGAGGCAGCAGUGAGGAAUAUUGCCCAAUGGACGCAAGUCUGAGGCAGCAACGCCGCGUGGGCGAUGAAGGCCUUCGGGUUGUAAAGCCCUUUUCUGGGGGACGAGGAAGGACGGUACCUCAGGAAUAAGUCACGGCUAACUACGUGCCAGCAGCCGCGGUAAUACGUAGGUGGCAAGCGUUAUCCGGAUUCACUGGGCGUAAAGCGCGUGCAGGCGGUUUCGUAAGUCGGACGUGAAAGCUCCUGGCUUAACUGGGAGAGGUCGUUCGAUACUGCGAGGCUUGAGGUCGGGAGAGGGACGUGGAAUUCCCGGUGUAGUGGUGGAAUGCGUAGAUAUCGGGAGGAACACCAGUGGCGAAGGCGACGUCCUGGCCCGCACCUGACGCUGAGACGCGAAAGCGUGGGUAGCGAACGGGAUUAGAUACCCCGGUAGUCCACGCCGUAAACGGUGGGUACUAGGUGUUGGUGGCUAUCGUCAUCAGUGCCGUAGCUAACGCGUUAAGUACCCCGCCUGGGGACUACGGCCGCAAGGCUAAAACUCAAAGGAUUGACGG
This 888-nucleotide ribosomal RNA is filed under the name uncultured bacterium. RNAcentral's name for it is "bacterial SSU rRNA". It matches the Rfam family "Bacterial small subunit ribosomal RNA", at positions 8 to 916 of the family's 1533-position model. The record is from RNAcentral.